Triticum aestivum (bread wheat) is the source of this 3555-nucleotide long non-coding RNA. RefSeq lists it as uncharacterized. NCBI's taxonomy places the organism in Eukaryota, Viridiplantae, Streptophyta, Magnoliopsida, Poales, Poaceae. The transcript has 3 exons. The record is from RefSeq and is a predicted model, not a curated record.
GCCAGCCUCGUAGUCUUAUCCAUUUCUCUGGUGAUGGCUAUGGCGACGGCGACGGCGACGGCGCCCGCGCCCGCGAGCUCCUCGAGCCGCCCCGCCACCCGCAAGCCGCGCCGCCGCACGCUGCCCGUUACCCACCGCCGGACCCCGCCUCCCGCCGUCCGCGUCGCGCCCGCAACUGCGUGUCGUUGCUGCCUGUGCUCUGCCUCGUGGCCUCCUCGACUCCUCGAGCCGGAGCUCGCUUCCGCCGGUGGCCAGCAGCAGCACCACCAGCAGGUCCCGCGUCGCUCGCGCCCCUUCUUCCUCAGUCCUGCCCGAGCUCGCGCCCAACCGAGGCCAGCCAACCCCGCCGCCAGAGGCCACCAUCGCCACCGCAGAUGAGCGCCGCCCCACUCCUUUCUCACAUCUCCCUCCGGUUCCCCCUGCUCAUCUCCCUCCCUGGUUUCUUCUCUACAGGAGCGCCAUGGUCGCUGAUCCCAUGCCCGAGGCCUCCUCAUCGCCGUUGUCGUCUGCUUCGUCUCCCGCCGCUGCGUGCCUGGACUCCACCGCUCGCACCUCCGCCCGUGCCCAAUCUCUGCUAAACUCCUCGCCCUUGCUGUCGUUGCUCUGUUCGUCGAGAAAGAGCGAGCGGGAUACCCGUUCCGCCUCCGUGUCCUUGUCAAACUCCUGCUCCCGUGUCCUUCUCAAACAAAGAAACCGUACCGACCAGGAUUUGUAGUUCGAUGCUAUAUAUUGAAUUGUUCUCUGCCGGAAUCCAGAACCAGGCCAGCGCCACCAGCGAGCAGUGCACCAUUGAAUUGUUCUCUGCCGGAAUCGUGAAUCAGGCCAGCGCCACCAGCGAGCAUUGCACCGUCGCUUGGGAUAUGAUACAGAUAUAAUUCUUCCCUUGCUUCUCCUGUUUCCUGUGGUAUAAUGUUGCAAUUCAACUGCUACUAUGUGAUCUUGCAAUUGUCGUAGUUAUGUUUCCUGCCGUAUAAUGUUGCCGUAUUAAUAGCUGCUCAAUCUGUUUUUGAUCAUGCUGUGAACAUUGGUGUGUUUGUGUGCCCUUGCUAGAAGUCUUAGCAAAAGUGACGAAGUGAUUGACUGAUUAUGAGCAGACUAAUAUCGACUGUACAUGUACCAAUACAAAAAAAACAGAAAUUGAGAGCAGGGUUAUGGAUAGAGUUCUAGAGAUUUAGGAGCUCCUCGCUCCACACCUACAUUCAGAAACAACAGUUUUGAUGAAUCUGUCCUUCUACUUGUGUUGGACCUUUAGAUGCUACAUCAGAUAUUUAACAACUGCAGAUUCAAUGAGCAAUCAAGCAAAUCACGUUUCUCUUGUGAAAGAUGUGAAAUACUUGACCAGCUUGUUCCUUUGUUCCUUUGUUCCUUUGAUCAAGUUUCUUAUCUGGGUUUCAUUGAUUGAACUAUUGGAGAAAUUUGUAUGCUAUUUGCUGAUGCCUGUGUUACUAUGUUACUACCUCUGAUCCCCAAUUUGAGCAAAACUUCAAUGCUUAUUUUGGCCUGAUUUGUAUGCUAUUUGCUGAUGCCUGACUAUGAUUUUUGGUUGUCGCUCUAUUACAGUGUAGUAAUAUAUAAUUUGGUCUGUUUGUGUUGUUGUGUUACUACCUCUGAUCCCUAAUUUGACCGCGGAUGCUGCUGCUACACCCGCACCACCAGCCCAAGGUCAGUCUCCUUCACCUUGCUCUAUAGCGCAACUCCCGCCUGACACCAUGUUGGCUUACUUCUGCCCCUCUGGUUUGGAGAGUGUGCGCUCUCAGCUCUGCUGGGCCGGUCGUGCUCUCUUGCUGAUUCUUACCUGCAGCUCCAACAUGAAAGCCUACAAAUCGACUCUUGAGAUUUGUCUUCAAAAUAGGAUUUUUUUUUUACUAUUACAUACUCUACUGAAGUUACAUGAUGUGCAGUUUAGAAAGUUGAUUACUGGGGGACUUUUACUACAUGUCCAAUUAUGGUUUCAUGAUAAAAGGAUCAUGCACCAAACGUUUGUUGAAUUGCUGCUUCAAGAAAAUGUAUGGAGUUUUCAUUGCGUGCUUCAAGUCAUUAACCAGGUAAAAUAAAUCCUAUAAGCUGUUCUUACCAUACAAUCUUUUGAACCAAUUUUUGUAAACUUAGUACAAUAUGAUUAUUGUUUUUGUAGGCUUUCCUAUAGAUAUAUUUGAGCUAUUAAAAAUGUGAUUAUAUCAUUUGUCAUCAGAAAACCAGAUUCAUUUAUACAUAAUGGGACAUAAUGUCCAGAAAAUAGUCACCAGGUACAAACAUCACUCUUGACCUACAUUGUACAACAUUGCAUAAUUUUCUGUUUUUCUUGAGGUACCGCUCAGUAUUUUUUUAUCGCAUACAUAGAUAGGACAAAGGUCACAAGAGAGUGCACCUUGCUGCAUGUGCACUCACUUGAUUAAGAUAUUCAAAGUGUGAGCUUUUGAAAUUUCCAAAAAUAAGUCAGAUUGUCAUUAUUAACCCAUGUGCACAUGCAAUGCUUUCUGACUCUCUGACAAUUGUCUUUCAGAAUAAUUUGAUGAACCACCAUGUCGCCCUUCCGCUUGGUUCCAUGGGAAAGCAAUUUACAAAGCUCCAGUUGGUCAAUACAGCCUUGAUUCCAUGUUUUCUACCACUGCUUAACUUUAUUUGAAAAACUGUUGUUGUUAUGUAUGCAGGAUAGAGUAUAGAGUUGUAUGCAGGAUAUAGUACUAGCGUUGGAAUUUCAGGGCAUCCAAAAAGAACUUAGUAUGCUUCAACCCAUGUUUUCUACCAUUGCUUACCUUUAUUUGAAAAAUUGUUGUUGCUAUGUAUGCAAGAUACAAUACUAGAGUUGGAAUAUCAGGGCAUCCAAAAAGAAUUUACUAUGCUUCAGGUAAGAAAGUUAAUUUGUUUGACUUUUGUAGGGACUAAAUUACUAGCUUAAUGCAUGGAACUUAUUGAGCUGCAGUCAUGGCAUGUGCUUACAUAGAGACCUUCGUUCUGUGGAUAUACCUCUUCUUAUAGGACAGCAUGUGCAUGAUGCAUUGCUCCCCUUAGUUUUCGGAGGAACAUGGUGCUAUUCCUGGUGCUUUUGGUUAUGAAAAAACUGACAUUAGUCAGGAACUUUCUAAGUUUAUGUGAGAUGUGGCUGAAAGAAGAAAUGAGAUAGCCGAGAUUCUAAUGGAUUUCCCCCAAUCGACAAUGAUAUUUCAUGACAUGAUGUGAAAAGUGGAGCCGCUUAAAGUACAUGGCGAGCUCACCAUGGCUGCCUUUCUUCCAACAGAUUGGGAACCGCCGACCGCGACCCAUGGUGUGUAGAUGAUACACCGGUGAGGCGUUCCAAGGACGAAGAGGAUCUGACGAUUUUCGGGGAUGAGGAGGAUCUUGCGAUUUCCAGAUUUCAAGUGUCUACACACUAUAUGUAGUAAGUUAUUUAGAGAAGUAGUCAAAUUAAAUCUGGAUACCAAUUUAUUGGAACAUUAUAUUUCUUACAGAAGUAGUCAAACAAUGAUAUCAAUUUGUUGGAACCAUCAAGGAGGUGACACUCCUGGAGGGUAUAUAUUCUCCAUCUUAUGCCUAUUUGAAAUACGGUUAUAGGUC